AACGAACGCUGGCGGCAUGCCUAACACAUGCAAGUCGAACGAGACCUUCGGGUCUAGUGGCGCACGGGUGCGUAACGCGUGGGAACCUGCCCUUAGGUUCGGAAUAACUCCCCGAAAGGGGUGCUAAUACCGGAUAAUGUCUUCGGACCAAAGAUUUAUCGCCUUUGGAUGGGCCCGCGUUGGAUUAGCUUGUUGGUAGGGUAAAAGCCUACCAAGGCGACGAUCCAUAGCUGGUCUGAGAGGAUGAUCACCCACACUGGGACUGAGACACGGCCCAGACUCCUACGGGAGGCAGCAGUGGGGAAUAUUGGACAAUGGGCGAAAGCCUGAUCCAGCAAUGCCGCGUGAGUGAUGAAGGCCUUAGGGUUGUAAAGCUCUUUUAACCGGGAUGAUAAUGACAGUACCGGGAGAAUAAGCUCCGGCUAACUCCGUG
This 433-nucleotide ribosomal RNA is filed under the name uncultured bacterium. Its description in RNAcentral is "partial 16S ribosomal RNA". It matches the Rfam family "Bacterial small subunit ribosomal RNA", at positions 29 to 507 of the family's 1533-position model. The record is from RNAcentral.